CAUUAAGUGACUGAAAUGAAAGUAAUGGUCUCUUAAACCAAAAAAUGACAAAAUAUCAAGUGUCCUUAAUGA
Molecule: transfer RNA, 72 nt
Filed under: Ugyops sp. APL-2018
Lineage: Eukaryota; Metazoa; Arthropoda; Insecta; Hemiptera; Delphacidae
Description: tRNA-Lys
Source: RNAcentral